AAACCAGAGCGAAUGCCAUGCAGCUUCAAGCACAAUUCAUUUGGAUACAAGCAUUACAUUUUGGAAGAUAGAUGG
Molecule: long non-coding RNA, 75 nt
Organism: Etheostoma spectabile (orangethroat darter)
Lineage: Eukaryota; Metazoa; Chordata; Actinopteri; Perciformes; Percidae
Exons: 3
Source: RefSeq, a predicted model, not a curated record